UACGUAGGGGGCUAGCGUUGUCCGGAAUCAUUGGGCGUAAAGCGCGCGUAGGCGGCCCGGUAAGUCCGCUGUGAAAGUCAAAGGCUCAACCUUUGAAUGUCAGCGGAUACUGCCGGGCUAGAGUCCGGAAGAGGCGAGUGGAACUCCUGGUGUAGCGGUGGAAUGCGCAGAUAUCAGGAAGAACACCAGCGGCGAAGGCAGCUCGCUGGGACGGAACUGACGCUGAGGCGCGAAAGCGUGGGGAGCGAACAGG
This 253-nucleotide ribosomal RNA is filed under the name uncultured bacterium. Its description in RNAcentral is "partial 16S ribosomal RNA". It matches the Rfam family "Bacterial small subunit ribosomal RNA", at positions 524 to 776 of the family's 1533-position model. The record is from RNAcentral.